GCGCCAUUAGCUCAGCUGGAUAGAGCGUUGCCCUCCGGAGGCAAAGGUCGCAGGUUCGACUCCUGCAUGGCGCGCCA
RNAcentral lists this transfer RNA (77 nucleotides) under Colwellia sp. 4_MG-2023. RNAcentral's name for it is "tRNA-Arg". It matches the Rfam family "tRNA". From Rfam's summary of the family: Transfer RNA (tRNA) molecules are approximately 80 nucleotides in length. Their secondary structure includes four short double-helical elements and three loops (D, anti-codon, and T loops). The record is from RNAcentral. RNAcentral also lists the same sequence under 3 other names. Lineage: Bacteria; Pseudomonadati; Pseudomonadota; Gammaproteobacteria; Alteromonadales; Colwelliaceae.